AUCAUUCGGAUUGAGAUUCCGUUGAGCCGGUGGUGGUCAAAGUGAAGAAAAUUCUAUUUUGCUUCAUUUGUCGCAGUUGGAAGAAAACAACGGCCAUAAAUCGCGCUACUAGGCUACUCGCUUCGUGUCGACAUCACGAGAGCCUAGUUCGAGCGCGUGUGUCGAGGAUCGCGGCAAGGGCGUCGCGCAGUAGAUAGCGUGGACCACUGGCGUUAGCUCUCUACCCUCGAGUAUAAUAAAAAAGGAAAGAAUGAUAUGUAAAACUUUUUUGUGAAGAGGUGUAAUGUAUUUGAGAGAUGGUAUUUUGGUUGUAUGUAUGAAAAGUGAAGUGAAAUAUGUAAUGGUUCAUGUGUGUGAACAAGUAAUGUAAUAGAUAAUUUAAAUUCUCUUG
Molecule: long non-coding RNA, 391 nt
Organism: Ananas comosus (pineapple)
Lineage: Eukaryota; Viridiplantae; Streptophyta; Magnoliopsida; Poales; Bromeliaceae
Exons: 2
Source: RefSeq, a predicted model, not a curated record